This is a long non-coding RNA of Lagopus leucura (white-tailed ptarmigan), 1057 nucleotides long. RefSeq lists it as uncharacterized. The record is from RefSeq and is a predicted model, not a curated record. NCBI's taxonomy places the organism in Eukaryota, Metazoa, Chordata, Aves, Galliformes, Phasianidae. The transcript has 3 exons.
UCAACACAUGCUUUAUUUUGCAUUUGGCAUCCAGUUAGAAUAACAGUGCACAGACAGGGAACAGAAAGAAAAAAAAGAACACGAAGACUGAUAGACAGGCGGACAGAUAUCUUCUGCUAAAUAAAAAAACUCAAACGACUAGUUAAAUCUGGUUGCUGUUCCCAUAAGUUACACUCAGAAAGCAUGUGCCCCUGGAUCAGUGCCUUUGAUGAGGUUUGCUGAGCACACUGUCUGAACUGUUGUCUUCGAGGCUGGUCACAACGCUAUUCCGGGUGCGGUGGACUUGCAAACCUCUCCAUGUGGAUCACAGAAGAUGCACCAGCACCAAGACUUCCCAGCGCUUGAAUGCGGCGUUUGUUCUGCAGCCCCAGGGGAAAGGCUCCUCACACCACCGCUGCGACUACUGCGCUGACCAGAGAGAGAGUUUGUCGUUAUCUGCUGCAGCUACUUUCAACAAUGUCUCUGCGGCAAGGUCAGAGGAAUGGAAAAAAUCCCUCAAAGAAAUAUGAAAGCUCACCUCAGAAGUGCCCUGGGAAACGUGGAGAACAAACACUUGGUUGUUCUCAUUUUGUUCUACUUUGGAUUGAGAUGACAGAACUGGAUGGCUUGUACUAAAAGAAGGAAACUGAAGGAGACAUCUUGUGAAUCGCUUGCUUAAGACGAAAAGACUUCUGCAAAACUACUCUUCGACUCUAAACUAGCCUGGUUAGAAAUCGAAGCAGCCAUCUAAACUAAACCUUUACCCAGUCUGAGCUGACUGCCUGCUAGAUGACAGCCCUGUCUGAGUGGGUGUGAGGGAGCUGAGCUGCUGACUGAAAGUGGAAUGAACAGCAGAAAAGGGAUUUUGAAGUCAUUUAGAAACCUCAAAUACACCAAGAGAACCUGUGCAACAGGGGAUGGCCAAUGGAAAUUUUUCUCCUCCCUCUUAAAAAAGGUCUUCAGUACUGAGGGUCUCUUUGAACUGUAUUUCUCAGAUGGAUGGAGACAGCAUGGCAGCUGGUGUCCAUACCCAAGAACUGUGAACAAUAUUAUGCAGGCCUACAAAGAAAAUGCAAUU